Tyto alba (common barn owl) is the source of this 1268-nucleotide long non-coding RNA. RefSeq lists it as uncharacterized. The record is from RefSeq and is a predicted model, not a curated record. The transcript is spliced from 6 exons. Lineage: Eukaryota; Metazoa; Chordata; Aves; Strigiformes; Tytonidae.
GGGGGAAGCGCGCUCUCUUUCACUUCCGCCGGCGUUGCUGCGCCGUCUUUGUGUGUCGGGAUCGCCAGGCGGGUGUCGGUCGGCAGGUGGAGCACGGGAGCUGCAAGCAUAGAGACACAUCUGUUGCCGUUGAAGAUCCUCCCCCCAAAAAAGUAUGCGACUAGAACAAAGCCUCCCCUCCACCCUUAAGUAAGUGUGUGUCAGCAAAAGAUUACCCCACAACCAGCACAAACCAGCUCUGCGGUUUGGCCCAGGUCCAGGAGGCAACAGAGGCUGCACAGGAAUCCAGGGUGAAAAGUUCAGCAGUAAGGAAGAGGAGAUACUUCCUCCCAUGACCACUGCCCAGCCCUUCAAGACCCUUGCCCAGCCCUUCGAGACUGUUGGAGGACGGACAAGCGGACGAGAGAAGGUGGAGAUCCCGGCUGCUUGAGAGAAGCAGGACAACAUUGAGAACGUGGCCAUGGCUGACCGGUAACGACAAACCCCGUUGGGUACCAGCGAAAUGGGUACGUCCACACCUAACCCGUGAUACAGAAAAUGCAGAAUCCGAACCCCAGACAUCUAAGUGAAGAGGACCAUCGGGGAAAAACACUCUUGAAUUGUGAUGACAGAAGAUGGGAUUAAAUUCCACAUGUGAAUUCUAGGAGUAGCUGUUAGUAGAGCUUUUAACUUAGGGUCUCAUAUUCUGGAAUUGAUGCCUUUUGCCAGCAAUAUUAUUUCUGGUUAUCAAGAAGCUAGCAAAAGCUAAUUUUAGGCUAGAUCUUAAUCUCACUUUAGACUUAAAUGAAUUUUUUUAAUAAAGUUCAGACUUGGAGCCUAAAUGAGAGAUUCUGCAGUCCAUCUCAUCUUCACAAAGGGACUGGAAUGUAGCUUACUGUGCCUAAAAUUAGCCUUGACUGCUUCUGUACAAAUACAGUUAGGACAACUAGUUCAUUUUGUGCUGCUUUCAGGGAUCUCCUCCUAUCUUUAGGCUGUCACCAAGUCUUAAGCAGUUAUAAUAAUGCUCUUGGUAGUUUAAUGGCUCUGCUGUGCUCUGUCAUGUGGCUGACCAUACUGCAGUAUUACUAAAUCCAGUGACAUUUGCAGCUUCAGUGGUGGCUCUUUUGCUGCUCAAGUGUGUUAGGUUGUUACAAGGACUAUACAUGUAAUGUGUGAGCUGAAGGUAAGUUCGUGAAGUCUGGAAAAUGAAUGUAAAAUAGUCAUAGUACAUAUGCCAAUGUAAAGCAUUCAAAUGUAUGAAUAAAUUAAUAAAGAGACAUUGAUUCUCA